AACGAACGCUGGCGGCAUGCCUUACACAUGCAAGUCGAACGGCAGCGCGGGGCAACCUGGCGGCGAGUGGCGAACGGGUGAGUAAUAUACCUCGGAACAUACCCUAGAGUGGGGGAUAACGUAGCGAAAGUUACGCUAAUACCGCAUACGAACUAAGGUUGAAAGCGGGGGAUCUUCGGACCUCGUGCUCAUGGAGUGGCCGAUAUCUGAUUAGCUAGUUGGUGAGGUAAAGGCUCACCAAGGCGACGAUCAGUAGCUGGUUUGAGAGAACGACCAGCCACACUGGAACUGAGACACGGUCCAGACUCCUACGGAGGCAGCAGUGGGGAAUUUUGGACAAUGGGCGCAAGCCUGAUCCAGCAAUGCCGCGUGAGUGAAGAAGGCCU
Molecule: ribosomal RNA, 386 nt
Filed under: uncultured bacterium
Lineage: Bacteria
Description: bacterial SSU rRNA
Rfam family: Bacterial small subunit ribosomal RNA
Source: RNAcentral